UCCCUUGUGGCUCAGCUGGUAAAGAACCUGCCUGCAAUGCAGGAGAACUGGGUUCAAUCCCUGGGUUGGGAA
RNAcentral lists this transfer RNA (72 nucleotides) under Bos taurus (domestic cattle). It matches the Rfam family "tRNA". Rfam says of the family: Transfer RNA (tRNA) molecules are approximately 80 nucleotides in length. Their secondary structure includes four short double-helical elements and three loops (D, anti-codon, and T loops). Further hydrogen bonds mediate the characteristic L-shaped molecular structure. tRNAs have two regions of fundamental functional importance: the anti-codon, which is responsible for specific mRNA codon recognition, and the 3' end, to which the tRNAs corresponding amino acid is attached (by aminoacyl-tRNA synthetases). tRNAs cope with the degeneracy of the genetic code in two manners: having more than one tRNA (with a specific anti-codon) for a particular amino acid; and 'wobble' base-pairing, i.e. permitting non-standard base-pairing at the 3rd anti-codon position. RNAcentral also lists the same sequence under 4 other names. Lineage: Eukaryota; Metazoa; Chordata; Mammalia; Artiodactyla; Bovidae. The record is from Rfam by way of RNAcentral.